Molecule: ribosomal RNA, 301 nt
Filed under: uncultured bacterium
Lineage: Bacteria
Description: partial 16S ribosomal RNA
Rfam family: Bacterial small subunit ribosomal RNA
Source: RNAcentral
CAGCAGCCGCGGGAAUACGAAGGGUGCAAGCGUUAAUCGGAAUUACUGGGCGUAAAGCGUGCGUAGGCGGCUUCUUAAGUCGGAUGUGAAAUCCCUGAGCUUAACUUAGGAAUUGCAUUCGAUACUGGGAAGCUAGAGUAUGGGAGAGGAUGGUAGAAUUCCAGGUGUAGCGGUGAAAUGCGUAGAGAUCUGGAGGAAUACCGAUGGCGAAGGCAGCCAUCUGGCCUAAUACUGACGCUGAGGUACGAAAGCAUGGGGAGCAAACAGGAUUAGAGACCCCGGUAGUCCCUGUCUCUUAUAC